Molecule: long non-coding RNA, 1005 nt
Filed under: Marmota monax (woodchuck)
Lineage: Eukaryota; Metazoa; Chordata; Mammalia; Rodentia; Sciuridae
Source: RNAcentral
CAUCUACGGAGCCAAACAGAAAACAUAGGUAUGGGGACUGGGAAGCCCACUUUGGGAUGUAGCUUAAUAGCAUGAUGUUAAAAAACACAUACACAUUUUUUUGUAUAUUUGUUGAUUAAUUGUAUAUCCUCUUCUGAGAAGGGUCUGUUCAGGUUCUUGGCCCAUUCAUUGACUGGAUUAUUUGCUUUUUGGGUGCUAAUCUUGUUGAGCUCUUUAUAUAACCUAGAGAUUAGAGCUCUAUCUGAUGUUUGAGGGGUAAAAAUUUGUUCCCAGGAUGUAGGCUCCCUAUUCACCUCACAUAUUGUUUCUUUUGAUGAGAAAAAACUUUUUAGUUUGAAUCCAUCCCAUUUGUUGAUUCUUGGUUUUAAUUCUUGUGCUAUAGGCAUCUUAUUAAGGAAAUUGGGGCAUAGCCCCAUGUGAUGGAGAUUAGGGCCUACUUUUUCUUCUAUUAGAUGCAGAGUCUCUGGUUUAAUUCCUAGAUCCUUGAUCCAUUUUGAGUUAACUUUUAUGCAUGGUGAGAGAUAGGGAUUCAAUUUCACUUUGUUGCAUAUGGAUUUCCAGUUUUCCCAGCACCAUUUGUUGAAGAUGCUAUCCUUUCUCCAGUGCAUGCUCUAAUAUAAGGUAGUUGUAAUUUUGUGAGUUAGUCUCUGUGUCCUCUAUUCUGUACCAUUGGUCUACCAGCCUGUUUUGUUGCCAGUACCAUGCUGUUUUUAUUACUAUUGCUCUGUAGUAUAGUAUAAGGUUUGGUAUAGCGAUACCACCUGUUUCACUCUUCCUGCUUAGAAUUACUUUAGCUAUUCUGGGUCUCUUAUUUUUUCCAGAUGAAUUUCAUGAUUGCUUUUUCUAUUUCUAUAAGGAAUCAGAGAAAUGCAAAUUACAACUACUCUAAGAUACCAUCUCACUCCAGUAAGAAUGGCAGCCAUUAUGAAGACAAACAACAACAAGUGCUGGCGAGGAUACAGGGAAAAAGGUACACUCAUUCACUGCUGGUGGGAUUGCAAACUG